UCAUAAAUUUUAGCAUAGAUUGACUUCAGAAAUCUUUUACUUCAUUUGUUGUGAACACGCUUUUUGCUACAUAAAGCCUAAUUAGUCAGAGCUUGUCGCUUAUGAUUGCUGUUGUGGUCGAUAACAGAUGACAGCCGUCUGUAACA
This is a long non-coding RNA of Bradysia coprophila, 146 nucleotides long. The record is from RefSeq and is a predicted model, not a curated record. NCBI's taxonomy places the organism in Eukaryota, Metazoa, Arthropoda, Insecta, Diptera, Sciaridae.